This 429-nucleotide ribosomal RNA is filed under the name Chloroflexota bacterium. Its description in RNAcentral is "Chloroflexi bacterium partial 16S ribosomal RNA". It matches the Rfam family "Bacterial small subunit ribosomal RNA", at positions 355 to 776 of the family's 1533-position model. Lineage: Bacteria; Bacillati; Chloroflexota. The record is from RNAcentral.
UGGGGAAUUUUGCACAAUGGGCGCAAGCCUGAUGCAGCCAUGCCGCGUGUAUGAAGAAGGCCUUUGGGUUGUAAAGUACUUUCAGCGGGGAGGAAGGCGUUAAGGUUAAUAACCUUGGCGAUUGACGUUACCCGCAGAAGAAGCACCGGCUAACUCCGUGCCAGCAGCCGCGGUAAUACGGAGGGUGCAAGCGUUAAUCGGCAUUACUGGGCGUAAAGCGCACGCAGGCGGUCUGUCAAGUCGGAUGUGAAAUCCCCGGGCUCAACGUGGGAACUGCAUUCGAAACUGGCAGGCUAGAGUCUUGUAGAGGGGGUAAGAAUUCCAGGUGUAGCGGUGAAAUACGUAGAGAUCUGGAGGAAUACCGGUGGCGAAGGCGGCCCCCUGGACAAAGACUGACGCUCAGGUGCGAAAGCGUGGGGAGCAAACAGG